Molecule: ribosomal RNA, 2103 nt
Filed under: Triticum aestivum (bread wheat)
Lineage: Eukaryota; Viridiplantae; Streptophyta; Magnoliopsida; Poales; Poaceae
Description: partial small subunit ribosomal RNA
Source: RNAcentral
AUGGAGAGGACCGGUUCCAGCGCUGACGGCACGGGUCCUAGCACCUCCUCCUCCUACUCCACCGCCGACGCCGACGACAAUGGCACCGCCGGCGGCGCCAAGGUCUGGCUCCUCGUGCUCCUCUUCUCCCUGCUCCUGCUGCUCUUCCUCCCCUCCGCGGUGCGCCGAGGCGGCGGCGGAUUCCAGCGCGGAGGGAUUACGCUCAAGAGCGGCUGGGACGUUGUCAACCUCUGCCUCGUGCUCUUCGCCAUCCUCUGCGGCCUGCUCGGCCGCGGUGGGGGCGACGGCGAUGGGGAGCCCCCCGGCCCCGCGGCGCCGGCGCCCAAGAGCCAUCUGCGGGUGUCCCCUGCGGCGGCGGCGACGCCGGAGCCGAGCACGGAGGACGUCUGGGCGAGCUUCAACAACUCCUACACCAACCACAACGCCCAGACGGGGAUCCGGCGGAUGAAGAGCAGCAGCUCCUACCCGGAGCUGCGGCUGGACAGCGACGGCGUCUGGGGCCUCGCGUCACCGGAGUUGGCCUGGCGCUCGUACGACGACGCCGAGCUGUACCGGACACGGCGAGACGAGCGGCCCGACAGGGCCCGGGACGCCGAUCGGUCGCUCAGGAGGACGUCGUCGGAUGUGAAGACGAUCCCGGUGGACACCUACGAGGUGCGCACCAGACCGCUGCCUCAGGAUGCGAGGAGGCGGAGGCGGAGUGUCGAGAGGCUCCCCAAGAUGGAUGAGGUGGAGGAGGAGAGGACGCAUCCGGCGGAGACGGAGACUCUCGCUACGCCGGCGAGGAGCAGGACCUGGAGCCCGGAGGAGCUGGACGCUACGCUGCUGGGGAUGGCGUCCGCACCACCGGCACCUGCCCCACCGCCGCAGCCUCGCCGUCGCCGACGCAGCCUCGAGAGGCUCCCCGAGAUGGUUGAGGUGGAGGAGAAGAGGACGCGUCCCACGGAGACUCGCGCUACGCCGGCGAGGAGCAGGACGUGGAGCCCGGAGGAGCUGGGCGCUACGCUAUUGGAGAUGGCGUCCGCAGAACCACCACCUGCCCCGCCGCAGCAGCCUCGCCGUCGCCGCCGCAGCCUCGAGAACCUGCCGACAAUGGAAGAAGUGGAGAAGGAGAUUACAGUGGAAGAGAUCAAUCACCCGCAGUCGCCAUCGCCAGCCAUGUUUCCCCCAGGGACUCCGCCGCCACCACCUCCUCCGCCACCGGCGGCAAUGUCGAGGAGCAAGAAGAAGAGGAGCGGCAGCGUGGGCGGCGCAAAGGAACUGGCCUCCGCCAUUGCUCUCUUCUACCAGAAGAAGCGCAAGAGCAUUAUCAUGAAGAGGGAGAGGCACCACCACCACCACCACCACCAUCUCUCCGAUGACCACUACUCGUCGCCUUCGUCCGAAGCAUCGGCGAGCCCCGAAGCUACCGGCCGUGCCAAUCCUCCACGCCCGCCACCGCCGCCACCCCCUCCCCCGCCGCCGCCGUCAUCCAUCUUCUCCAACCUCUUCAAGAAAGGAGGCAGCAAGAGCCGCCGCAUGAACUCCCUCGCGCCACCGCAACCGCCACCUCCGCCCCCACCAACGCGCCGAUCAAGGAAACCGCCACAGCCUCCGUCUCGCCCCGCUCCUCCGCAGCCAGCGCCAGCUCCAGUGAGGACACGGCCGCCGCGCGCGAGCGCGCACCCGCAACAGCAGAUACGCGCGCAGGGGUAUCCGCAGCAGCCGCCACUGUAUCCCAGGCGCGGUGUCGUGUACUACGCCUACCCGCUUCCUCCGCCGUCGCCCCCAAUGCCGCCACCGCCUCCUCCACCGCCGAUGCUGGAGGGGGAGGAGGAGGUUCCGUCGGUCACUGCGUCACCGGCACCGUCGUACUGCGCGAGCCCCGACGUGAACACCAAGGCGGACAACUUCAUCGAACGCUUCCGCGCCGGGCUGAAGCUGGAGAAGAUCAACUCGUACCGGGAGAAGCUGCAGAUCCAAGAAGGCUCGACCGUGACCAUGGCGGAGGAGGACGGGGAGUUCAUGAUCAUUGGGUCCCUCUUCGAAGAUGACGAUGACGAUAUGUCGUUGCCGGAGACGCCGGCAACCGCUACCGCAGCCGCUGUUGCCGUCGGCUUCUAA